UGUUUGUUGUCCAGAGAUGUCCCCAUGUGUGUGUGUUGGCCCAGGCUGUGGUCUUCUCUCAUGGUCUCUUCCUGUUUUUCUCUUCCAUUCAUACCUUCCCUUUCCCCAUCUCACAUCAGCCUCCUUUUUCUCUCUCUCUUUUAUCUCUUUCCUUUCUACUCCCCCUCUUUCACCAUCUCUCCCUUCCCUUUUUCUUCCACUCAGCAAUUGCUGAGCUCUCUUCUGAUACUUCCCUCCAUCCCACUCUUACCUUUUUUUUUUUUUUUUUUAAGUAGGCUUCACACCCAGCGUGGCGUGCAACAUGGGCUUGAACUCACGAAUCUGAAAUCAAGACCAGAGCUGAGAUCAAGAAUUGGACACUCAAUCAACUGAGCCACUCAGAGAGAGGCAGAGCAUGAACGGUGGAGGAGCAGAGAGAGAGGGAGACACAGAAUCGGAAGCAGGCUCCAGGCUCCGAGCCAUCAGCCCAGAGCCUGACGCGGGGCUCGAACUCACGGACCGCGAGAUCGUGACCUGGCUGAAGUCGGACGCUCAACCAACUGCGCCACCCAGGCGCCCCUAAGGAAGAUUUAUCUAUUCUCCCCAAUUUAUUUAUUUAUUCAGUCAUUUAUUUACAUCA
Panthera uncia (snow leopard) is the source of this 619-nucleotide long non-coding RNA. RefSeq lists it as uncharacterized. Lineage: Eukaryota; Metazoa; Chordata; Mammalia; Carnivora; Felidae. The record is from RefSeq and is a predicted model, not a curated record. The transcript is spliced from 2 exons.